Molecule: long non-coding RNA, 278 nt
Filed under: Salmo salar (Atlantic salmon)
Lineage: Eukaryota; Metazoa; Chordata; Actinopteri; Salmoniformes; Salmonidae
Description: lncRNA (ENSSSAG00000112457.1)
Source: RNAcentral
GGCCAGUCUGGGAAGCCCGUCAGUCAACCAGCCAUCCAGAUCUCCUGUUAGAAAAUAGGGUGUGGUUUGUGAAGAUGGAGGGAGAGCAUCCUCAUGAGGAGAAGCAGACUGAAACUGCUUGCUGUGCAUCCCAAUGUCCCAAAGAUGGAGAGGAGAGGCAGGGACAAGGGGCUAUGUUAUGGUCCAUCCAGGAGGCAGUGGAGAGGCAGACCAUGCAGAUAGGAACGUCCGCCUGUGGGGCAACGGCCGUAGUGGACGUCCUACAGGCCCUCGGCAUC